Nematostella vectensis (starlet sea anemone) is the source of this 1170-nucleotide long non-coding RNA. RefSeq lists it as uncharacterized. The transcript is spliced from 3 exons. Lineage: Eukaryota; Metazoa; Cnidaria; Anthozoa; Actiniaria; Edwardsiidae. The record is from RefSeq and is a predicted model, not a curated record.
UUAGUUGGGGGAUUAAGUAUUUUUGCGUUUAGAAAAGAGGAAUAGAAGUCCGAUAUAUUAGGAACACGUCAACACAUUCCUAAGUGUUUUUUUUAGAUAAUGCUACAAUUUUAUGGACGUCAACACAUUUCGUUGAAUUUGGACAAACCAAAAAUUAGGAUAGCAAGUGACACCAAAGAGAGAAAGCCAGGAGAACUGUCGAUGCGUAAACAGCCUCAGGGAAAGCGCGAAGGGAGCCACUGGAAGCAAGGGUACAAAUAAGGCUGUACUCAGUGAAUGCGUCGAAACCUGACCUGCAUUGUUUCGGUCACAACCAUUGAACAGGGACGAAAUAUGACCAAUUUCUCGUCCAUGUGCCGGCUUGGAGGGGUGAGUCGAGGAACCAUUGCACUGGAGAAAAUACUUUACAGCAUUAAGGGGUAGGGUGGGUGAGUGGGGGUACUCUUUCAGUUACAGAAUACGUUGGCGUAUGGCUUCUAUGACAAAUAUUUUCUCUUUAGUCUCAAACCUAAUACGUAGGAGCUAACAGCGUAUAGUUUUACUUACUCGGUUCGGGUAGAAUCUUUAGUAACCGUACUUUGCGUCUGUUUGAUUCGCAAUUCGAGUUUCCUAGGGCUUGUGUUAUGGAUGGUAUUAUUGUGCUUUUUCACUCACAUCUGCGUUUUCCUUCAUUGGGCAAGUAGCGACAAGCCCAGCAGCACGUCUAUCCUAUACAUCCUCUUGUUUUCAAUUUUCUUCAGACAACCGCUGCGCAAAUCUCGAGGCACCGCAGGAAGGCACCAGGCAUUUCAAAGAAAACUUGCGCAACUUAAGAUGCUCGUUUAGCAUUUCACAGAAAACUUGGCAUUUCACUGAUAAAUUCACCGCACAUAAGCUUUUGCGAACAGGUUUUUUUUUUUGCUUGUGCGUGCGCAGUAGGGACAUCAGUGAAUUGUGGACGCAAAUGCAAAUUAUUCCAAUGGUUUUUUAACGGUCCUCCUGUGUCUCCAUGGUAUCAACGCAACGGAUGAUGAAAACUUAAUUACUGUAUAAGUUUGGAUAGCAGUAUGAUAAAUAUUAAUAUACUGGAGGAUUUGGAUUAUGUUUUAAGAAUAUUGUUAAAAAUAUCAUGUUCUCAAAAAAUAUGUUUAAAUAAGUCAAUAUCAAUAAAUGUUGCGAGUCUUCUUUAAA